GAUGAACGCUGGCGGCGUGCCUAAUACAUGCAAGUCGAACGCUGAAGCUUGGUGCUUGCACCGAGCGGGUGAGUUGCGCACGGGUGAGUAACGCGUAGGUAACCUGCCUCUUAGCGGGGGAUAACUAUGGGAAACGAUAGCUAAUACCGCAUAAAAGUCGAUAUCGCAUGAUAUUGAUUUGAAAGGUGCAAAUGCAUCACUAAGAGAUGGACCUGCGUUGUAUUAGCUAGUUGGUGAGGUAACGGCUCACCAAGGCGACGAUACAUAGCCGACCUGAGAGGGUGAUCGGCCACACUGGGACUGAGACACGGCCCAGACUCCUACGGGAGGCAGCAGUAGGGAAUCUUCGGCAAUGGGGGCAACCCUGACCGAGCAACGCCGCGUGAGUGAAGAAGGUUCUCGGAUCGUAAAGCUCUGUUGUAAGAGAAGAACGAGUGUGAGAGUGGAAAGUUCACACUGUGACGGUAACGUACCAGAAAGGGACGGCUAACUACGU
Molecule: ribosomal RNA, 496 nt
Filed under: uncultured bacterium
Lineage: Bacteria
Description: partial 16S ribosomal RNA
Rfam family: Bacterial small subunit ribosomal RNA
Source: RNAcentral